AGUGAACGCUGGCGGUAGGCCUAACACAUGCAAGUCGAACGGCAGCACAGUAAGAGCUUGCUCUUACGGGUGGCGAGUGGCGGACGGGUGAGGAAUACAUCGGAAUCUACUUUUUCGUGGGGGAUAACGUAGGGAAACUUACGCUAAUACCGCAUACGACCUACGGGUGAAAGCAGCGGAUCUUCGGGCCUUGCGCGAUUGAAUGAGCCGAUGUCGGAUUAGCUAGUUGGCGGGGUAAAGGCCCACCAAGGCGACGAUCCGUAGCUGGUCUGAGAGGAUGAUCAGCCACACUGGAACUGAGACACGGUCCAGACUCCUACGGGAGGCAGCAGUGGGGAAUAUUGGACAAUGGGGGCAAGCCUGAUCCAGCCAUACCGCGUGGGUGAAGAAGGCCUUCGGGUUGUAAAGCCCUUUUGUUGGGAAAGAAAAGCAGCAGGUUAAUACCCCGCUGUUCUGACGGUACCCAAAGAAUAAGCACCGGCUAACUUCGUG
Molecule: ribosomal RNA, 492 nt
Filed under: uncultured bacterium
Lineage: Bacteria
Description: partial 16S ribosomal RNA
Rfam family: Bacterial small subunit ribosomal RNA
Source: RNAcentral